Molecule: ribosomal RNA, 331 nt
Filed under: Xanthomonas citri pv. citri
Lineage: Bacteria; Pseudomonadati; Pseudomonadota; Gammaproteobacteria; Lysobacterales; Lysobacteraceae
Description: partial 23S ribosomal RNA
Rfam family: Bacterial large subunit ribosomal RNA
Source: RNAcentral
GCAUAAUGAUCUCUCAACUGUCUCAACACUAGACUCGGUGAAAUUAUGGUCCCAGUGAAAACGCUGGGUUCCCGCAUCAAGACGAGAAGACCCCAUGGAGCUUUACUGUAGUUUGAUAUUGAGUACCUGUAAGUCAUGUACAGGAUAGGUAGGAGCCAUUGAAAUAGGGACGCUAGUUUCUAUUGAGGCGUUGUUGGGAUACUACCCUUGACUUAUGGUUACUCUAACCCGCUGGCAUAAUCGGCCAGGGAGACAGUGUCUGACGGACAGUUUGACUGGGGCGGUCGCCUCCUAAAGAGUAACGGAGGCGCUCAAAGGUUGGCUCAGAUUG